GUGGUACAUGCCAAAACAUCUACAUAUGCUGCACCAGGUGAUGCGACCCCUGUUUUAGGUGAUGUGACUUACUGUGGCAGGAUAAUUGAUAUUAUUCAGUUGAACUACUCUAGACAAUUAUCGGUGGAUUUAUUUAAGUGUGAAUGGGUUGAUAUUUCUGAAAAGGGAAUUAAAAAGGACAAGUAUGGCUACACACUUGUUAACUUCUCACAUUUGAUGCACAAAGGAGACAAGAUUGAGCAUGAGCCUUUUAUUUUGCCUAACCAAGCCGAUCAAGUGUUUUACCUAGAAGACGAACUGAACCCAGGUUGGUCAGUGGUGAUGCAGAAUAAACUACCUAGAGAUAGAUAUGACACUGGAAAUGAUGAAUGCACACGAGACGUAGAAGCUGAGCCAUUCCAUGUUUCUCACCUCACGGAUAUGUUUAAAACGAAAAGGAAAGAUCAACAUUGGGUAAGGUCUAAUAUUGAGGGAACAAUUGUGGAUGCUAAUGAUAAUUCUUUGAUCGAUGAAGAA
RNAcentral lists this ribosomal RNA (516 nucleotides) under Triticum aestivum (bread wheat). Its description in RNAcentral is "partial small subunit ribosomal RNA". The record is from RNAcentral. Lineage: Eukaryota; Viridiplantae; Streptophyta; Magnoliopsida; Poales; Poaceae.